CUCGCUUGAACUCAGUUCUGACACCUCUCAGGCAGACACCAUUAUAAGAGAGCAAGGGACGUGUUUGUGGUCAGUUCCGGUCAGUGGCGAAGCUGCAUGCUCCGCUACUGCGGGCGGAGAGCAGGCGAUGGCAUGGCUGGCACCCUCCGUGCGGAGGAGGGUGCACCCCGGGGACGUGGCGCACAUCCUGGGGGUGUGGCACACCACCUGCAGGAGCAUGGUGCGCAUCCUGGGGACAUGGUAUGCUGUCUGCAAGGGCGUGACGCACGUUCUGGG
This is a non-coding RNA of Podarcis lilfordi (Lilford's wall lizard), 276 nucleotides long. NCBI's taxonomy places the organism in Eukaryota, Metazoa, Chordata, Lepidosauria, Squamata, Lacertidae. The record is from the annotation of a GenBank genome assembly.